Long non-coding RNA from Sapajus apella (tufted capuchin), 723 nucleotides. RefSeq lists it as uncharacterized. Lineage: Eukaryota; Metazoa; Chordata; Mammalia; Primates; Cebidae. The record is from RefSeq and is a predicted model, not a curated record. The transcript is spliced from 2 exons.
GAGAAGCGGAAGUCGGGCGUCACCGCAGUGCUGGGGAGUGUGAAGCGAGAGGAGGAGCGUUUGUGGCCUCAGCGUCUGUCAACAGAACCCUCUUCACCUGUGGUUAAGUCCUGAGCUCAUGCUCCUCUCCUGAAGGACGCAGACCUGACUGCUGAAGGCCUGCAGCACUCACUGGGGGCUUCAGGGAGCCCUGAGUCCCCUCCACCCUCGCCUCCUUCUCCUGGGUGCCCAGGAAAUGUCUCCAAGGGAGGCUGUGACCCAGGACCCCGGCUCGACCUCACCUUCUUCUGUAAGGCGCAGUGAAAGACGAAGAUGAAGACCCCCUGGAAGGCGUUGAAGGUGGUGAAGAGAUAGGCCAUGACCACCGAUUCCUUAUUGAUAAAGAGGAGGCCGAAAGCCCAGGUGAGACCCAGCAGGAACAGCAGGGCGAUGGCCCCCAGGGCCCAGGAUCUGGCGGUGGAGAGAUGGGGUGUCAAAGUACCCGCCGGAGGGGACGGCCUCAGCCUAGGCCUCCCCUGCAGCCAAUAAGUGGGGGCCGUUGGGUGGGCCUGGGCACUGUCUGCAAAGCCCUAACCCAGCAGGGCAGGUGAGUGGGCCUUGAGGGCAGUACCCUGCCCAGGACGCCUCCACCCCAGCCUGGGCCUGAGGGUUUCCAGACAACUUAGGCUACAUCUUGCUGCCUAUUUCUCUUUAAGUUGCCCUUAAACAGACUCACCUUUUGAA